AUGAACGCUGGCGGCGUGCCUAAUCCAUGCCAGUCGAGCGAACAGACGAGGAGCUUGCUCCUCUAACGUUAGCGGCGGACGGGUGAGUAACACGUGGAUAACCUACCUAUAAGACUGGGAUAACUUCGGGAAACCGGAGCUAAUACCGGAUAAUAUAUUGAACCGCAUGGUUCAAUAGUGAAAGACGGUUUUGCUGUCACUUAUAGAUGGAUCCGCGCCGCAUUAGCUAGUUGGUAAGGUAACAGCUUACCAAGGCAACGAUGCGUAGCCGACCUGAGAGGGUGAUCGGCCACACUGGAACUGAGACACGGUCCAGACUCCUACGGGAGGCAGCAGUAGGGAAUCUUCCGCAAUGGGCGAAAGCCUGACGGAGCAACGCCGCGUGAGUGAUGAAGGUCUUCGGAUCGUAAAACUCUGUUAUUAGGGAAGAACAAAUGUGUAAGUAACUAUGCACGUCUUGACGGUACCUAAUCAGAAAGCCACGGCUAACUACGUG
Molecule: ribosomal RNA, 496 nt
Filed under: uncultured bacterium
Lineage: Bacteria
Description: partial 16S ribosomal RNA
Rfam family: Bacterial small subunit ribosomal RNA
Source: RNAcentral